AAGUCCUUAAAAGCUGAGAACUUCCUCCUGCUGGGGACAGGACAGAUGAGGCAGAAGGGGAGGUUAGGGAGGUUUGAAGAGUGAGAAGAACUUCUGCAGUGGCUGACUUGGAAGAUGAAGGAGGUUAUGAACCAGGGAAUGGGGGCAGCCUCUAGAGGCUGAGAACCUGCUGACACCUACCCACAACCACUAAGGAAAUGAAGACUUUAAUUCCACAACUGCAUGCAACUAAACUCAGCCAACAACCUGAAUAAGUCUGAAAAAGGCUUCUCCAGAGCCUCCAGAUAAGAGGCCAGGCUGGCGACACACCUUGAUUUUGACCUUGUGAGACCUAGAGCAGAGAAACUAGCCAAGAUCACUCAGACUUCUGAUCUACAGAACUGUGAGACCGUAAAUUUAUGUUGUAUUAAGCCACUAAUUGUGUGGGAAUUUGUUACAGGAGCAAUAGAAAAUGAAUACACCGUCUGAUGUAGUUUAAUCAGUUGACAUUAGGCGCAGUGGCUCAAGCCUGUAAUCCCAGCACUUUGGAAGGCCAAGGCAGAAGGAUUAUUUGAGGCCAGAAGUUCAAGACCACCCUGGGGUGACACCAAGAUGUGCUACACUGAACCCAACUUCUGCAUGUUUAAGACAAGACGCAAGGUCAAAAAUUUACAUCAGGUAUCUGAAUGUGUAGCAUAUACAACUGAGUGUUGAAAGAAGACAAAAUCGUUUUCAUCACGAAGAAUAUGUGCUCAGUAAGAAUCAGAAUGUUCAAUUGUGUGAAGGUGGGAGAUGGGAAGAUUGGUAUUAUGGCCUGGAUCCAGAAAUCAGUCUUCCACUAUGGGAAAUGGGAAUUUAAAGAUGAUCAGAAGACAGUUGGGAGCAGAGUGAGAAUAAGAACCCUCAACUGCUGUCUCACCUUUCAGAUCACGAAGAAGUUUUUUACAAUGAGCAGAACACUCAACCUGAAAGCAGAAUGGAUUGAGUCACUGCAGCGUGGCAGUGGAAUGGUGCUUGAUGUUGGCAAAGGAAACAUGUACUUCUAGACUGGACAGUUUUCCCUCAGUUUACAGUUUCCAAAUAGAGACAUCACUUUGAAAUAACAUGGAGAACAUACGUGGAUGUACUGAACGAAGAAUAAAGUCUGUGUUGCA
Molecule: long non-coding RNA, 1133 nt
Organism: Pan troglodytes (chimpanzee)
Lineage: Eukaryota; Metazoa; Chordata; Mammalia; Primates; Hominidae
Exons: 5
Source: RefSeq, a predicted model, not a curated record